Potamilus streckersoni is the source of this 73-nucleotide non-coding RNA. Lineage: Eukaryota; Metazoa; Mollusca; Bivalvia; Unionida; Unionidae. The record is from the annotation of a GenBank genome assembly.
GGUGGCCUUGUGGUUAGAGCGUCCGCCUAGGAUGCGGGUGGUUGUAGGUUCAAACCAAGUCAUACCAAAGACU